Potamilus streckersoni is the source of this 73-nucleotide non-coding RNA. The record is from the annotation of a GenBank genome assembly. Lineage: Eukaryota; Metazoa; Mollusca; Bivalvia; Unionida; Unionidae.
GUCUCGGUAGCUCAAUUUGUAGAGCGUUGAAUUCGUAAUUUAAGGGUCGCGGAUUCGAUACCUGCCUCAGCCA